CUUGUUGAUUUGAAUAUCAAGCGUGGAAAACAAGUGGUGUAAUGCAAAUCCUACCUGGUGAAAAGGAAAAAAAUAAAUUUGAAUUUCUUUAAAAUUCCAUGUAAAGAAACAAUGUCACAAAUGGGAGUCUCGUGUCAAACCUGAAGGUGUUAAUACUUCCUCUGGAAGCUGAAAGCUCCCUGGUUUGUGGGGGUUUUUCUUUGCAUGUAAUAGUUUAUACUUAAGAAUUUACAAUAUUACUUUUAUUAAGUAUUCCCAUCCAGUUCCCAUAGUUGCAGAUGAAAAGCUAGCACCCAUCAUAUCUAUAGCUUUGGGCUUUCUGCUCUGAAAUAGCAGCAUGUUCAGUGCUUUCGUGUACUUGACUUGGAGUCUGCGGAGAGAACUAAUGCAGUCUCUUGUGCCAAGCUGCCUAAAUAACUUGUGAACAGAACUAAGUUAGAUGGUAUUUACCAUACCAUUUCCUGCAAAAUCUGAGAUGCAAUUUCCUUUGAGUUGGUGAGUGUCACAUCUGCAUGAUGCUUGUGGAAUCCCGUUUUGUUUAGACUUAAUCUACCUGCAGAGAUGCUGGGCAGGUAGAGGAUUAUUGCUUCACUUGGCGCACUAAGGCUAUCUGGAGCUUCUGAGUUCAGGAUAGUCAUUGCAAUUUAAUUGUAACAGUAGAGUUUUUCUACAGAAAAAUGGGUUGUCCUCUGAGAGGAGAGAUUGUAUAUACCUUAUCUUGAAAAUAAUAUUAAUUCAUCCAUGUAUAACUAAUAUUUUGGUCCUCAGGAAGUUCAGUUAGUGGGUUGUUUGUAUUUUCCUUUAAAGAAUUUGUUAGUGUUCCAGGGUGAAACCUGAGUAAAACUUCCAAGUUUAUGUAUCUGUUUCAUGUCUGCUAGAAGUUUCUUUUGAUGGGCUUGCAAAUAACUGGUUGAGCUAAGUGGAUGGGUUUUGAGGGGGUUUCACAAUAGGCAGGAGGAGGUAUCCCUCUUCCAUAUAAGUUUUUCAUGGAGGAAGACACCUAUGCCAUGUGCGCUGUGAUGAGACUUUGCCUGAAAAUGCUGAUGGACACCUUACGUGGAUUCCAUGUGUUUCAUCGGGGGAUGAAGGGUGCCUGUGUCUACCAAGGCUUGUUGUUUGAGGUAGGUCAGCUUGAAGAUGAUGUGUUGGGGAAAGUGUUUGACCAAGAAGGUGCUCCUGAACUUUCAAGCUUGAACUUGAGAGCUAGGCUCCUAGUUUUGUCACCUCAGCCACCAGGGCAUGUAAACUUGGAGCAGGGGAUGUUGCUGCAAGCCUUCAGCCCACCAGGAAACAGCAGCAGCAUACUUCCAUUGCCUUCAGGGAGGUCAGCAAUUCUCCCUGGGCCUUUGACUCAACCACUGUCCUGCUUGGUACAACUGUGCCUGCUUCGAAGUGGGGUUCCUUUGUCCAGUGUCCAAAAAGGCAUGUGGAAUUUUAAGAUUCCUGGAAGCCAUGUGAAUCAUGAGUGUGCAGUCCUUGGCUGA
This 1484-nucleotide long non-coding RNA is filed under the name Apteryx haastii (Great spotted kiwi). RNAcentral's name for it is "lncRNA (ENSAHAG00000008155.1)". Lineage: Eukaryota; Metazoa; Chordata; Aves; Apterygiformes; Apterygidae. The record is from RNAcentral.